This is a long non-coding RNA of Hirundo rustica (Barn swallow), 224 nucleotides long. RefSeq lists it as uncharacterized. The record is from RefSeq and is a predicted model, not a curated record. The transcript has 3 exons. Lineage: Eukaryota; Metazoa; Chordata; Aves; Passeriformes; Hirundinidae.
AAAUGAAUGUCAGAUUGCUCAUCCAGCACUUCCUAUCUGAAUCUCAGCUUUCCAGGAUAUAGUCCAUCAUUCUGCUGUCACAACGCUGUUGGGUCCAGCUGCUAAGCCGGGAAGCCGAAACGAACCGGGACCAUCUGUGGCUGUGUUGACUCGAGCUAGCCAGAGGUCAUCUCCCGCCCGGUGCGGGACGGAACAGACACAUGUUAGAAGCCUGAUGAGAUUGU